GGGCCCGUAGCUCAGCACGGUAACGUUGGCUUUGGACAACGCCAAGGAGCACACGACUGAUAAUCGUGGGGUCGAGAGUUCAAAUCUCUCCGGGCCCA
This is a non-coding RNA of Crenarchaeota archaeon 13_1_40CM_3_52_10, 98 nucleotides long. Lineage: Archaea; Thermoproteati; Thermoproteota. The record is from Rfam.